CCCACCCUUACGACCUCAUCUGACCUUAACCACCUCCCUAAAGCCCCGUCUCCAAAUUCAGCCACAAUGGGUUAGCACUUCAGUGUAUGAGUUUUGGGAGGACACAACCCAGGCCUCGUGGACUUGCCAUGUGUUCUGUGAGAUGAGGUUCCUCGUGGGUGACCGGCCCCGGAGAGGCAGCUGUUCAGCCCGUCCUCGGGGGUUGGCCACUGCCCCCCAGUGCCUCCCAUGCAGGCCUGGGGCCACCGGUGAGGCAAAGCCACACCGUGUGCAAAGGCUUCCUCCUCAAUAAACCUCUUGCACCAGAAUCCCUUCUUCAAGCUCUGCAUCUGGAGAACAGGAGAGCCCAAAUGACGGAAAACCCACGGGGCUUUAACCAGCCCACUGCCAACCUCCCACGUGGACCGGCCCUCAGGAUACAGAGUCUGAUGUGAGAAGCAGCCAGGCUGUGUCAUUAGAAAAGAAUGACUUCACAAGUUGGAAACAAUGUACACGUCCAUCACCUGGUGAACGGACAACACGGAUGACCCUUGGAAACACCGCUGAGUGAAAGAAGCCCCUCCCAGGAGACCUCGUGCUGUGUGAUUCCCUUCAUGCAAAACAUCCGGAAAGGUGAACCCAUAGAGACAGCACAGCGAUUAACCGCUGCUUGGGAGGUGGCAGGGGUGGGGUUCGAGGGGAACCAGCCGCAAGCGGGCGUGAGAUGUUCACGGAGCGGCGGGAGUGGCACAACGUGGUAAACUUACUAAAGCAUCAUCAAAUUGUAUCCUUGAAACUGGUGAAUUAUGUAAUAUGGAAAAUUUACCCCAGUGAAGUUGUUUACAGCCUCUCCGAUGGAGGCAGGACUUUCUGGACGUGAGUCUGUGGACGAGACCACCAACAUUCCCAUUUUUAAAAUUUUCCUCGGUGAGAGUCAGGUAAAAUCCUUAGCAUCAAAUAUCUGGUUUGCAAAAGCAUUAUGAGGUUUGGGGGAUUAAUCAGGCAAAAUAAAAGGUGCUUGUUUUUUGUUGCU
Molecule: long non-coding RNA, 1012 nt
Organism: Canis lupus familiaris (dog)
Lineage: Eukaryota; Metazoa; Chordata; Mammalia; Carnivora; Canidae
Exons: 3
Source: RefSeq, a predicted model, not a curated record